This 218-nucleotide unclassified non-coding RNA is filed under the name Hevea brasiliensis (rubber tree). Lineage: Eukaryota; Viridiplantae; Streptophyta; Magnoliopsida; Malpighiales; Euphorbiaceae. The record is from RNAcentral.
UGUUGUCAGCAAGGUUGAGGAACCCUAAGAGGGUGAGGUUCCCUGUAUAUGGAAAUGUGGUCCCUGACAAGCUCAGCCCCUGCAGGUUUAGAGACGUAACUCUACGGUGUUUCGAACCACAAGUAACCCCUUGCCAUUUACAGAAGUGCACAGAAUCGUUCCAUGAGCUCAAAAUUCCAUGUGGAUGGUCUAUAUUGGCUUUGAACUCCAAAAGUGAA